RNAcentral lists this ribosomal RNA (254 nucleotides) under uncultured bacterium. RNAcentral's name for it is "partial 16S ribosomal RNA". It matches the Rfam family "Bacterial small subunit ribosomal RNA", at positions 524 to 776 of the family's 1533-position model. The record is from RNAcentral.
CACGUAGGGGGCGAGCGUUGUCCGGAUUUAUUGGGCGUAAAGAGCUCGUAGGCGGUUUCGUAAGUCGGAUGUGAAAACUCCAGGCUCAACUUGGAGACGCCAUUCGAUACUGCGAUGACUUGAGUCCGGUAGGGGAGUGUGGAAUUCCUGGUGUAGCGGUGAAAUGCGCAGAUAUCAGGAAGAACACCCGUGGCGAAGGCGGCUCUCUGGGACGGUACUGAUGCUGAGACGCGAAAGCGUGGGGAGCGAACAGG